Manis pentadactyla (Chinese pangolin) is the source of this 305-nucleotide long non-coding RNA. RefSeq lists it as uncharacterized. The transcript is spliced from 3 exons. The record is from RefSeq and is a predicted model, not a curated record. Lineage: Eukaryota; Metazoa; Chordata; Mammalia; Pholidota; Manidae.
UGACAAGGCACAACACAUGGCUGACCAGCAUAAGACUACAUUUCUCAGCCUCUAUAUAGCUAUAUAUGGCCAUGGUCCAAGUUCCCACCAGUGAGAUGGAUUAGAAUGAGUAUGAGGUGUAAACCAGGGCUGACCAUCAGGAUCAGAGCAGCAUUCUGGGGAAGAGGUGAGCGCAGGACGACUACACCCCAGGUGAUACCUUGAUGGCCGUCUGUGAGGGUCCCUGAGGUGCUGGAGCAAGCUGAGCCAUGCCCAGAUUCCUGACCCACAGGACCUCUGAGACAAUAAGACAUGGAUUGUCUCAA